AACACACAAAUAAUGAAAUGUUGCCAUGUUUUUAUUGAACACACCAUGUAAACAUUCACAGUGCAGGUGGAAAAAGUAUGUGAAUCCAUAGAUUAAUGACAUCUCCAAGAGCUAAUUGGAGUGAGAUGUCAGCCAACUGGAGUCCAAUCAAUGAGAUGAGAUUGGAGGUGUUGGUUACAGCCGCCCUGCCCUAUAAAAAACACACACCAGUUCCAGGUUUGCUUUUCACAAGAAGCAUUGCCUGAUGUGAAUGAUGCCUCACACAAAAGAGCUCUCAGAAGACCUACGAUUAAGAAUUGCUGACUUGCAUAAAGCUGGAAAGGGUUAUAAAAGUAUCUCCAAAAGCCUUGCUGUUCAUCAGUCCACGGUAAGACAAAUUGUCUAUAAAUGGAGAAAGUUCAGCACUGCUGCUACUCUCCCUGGAAAGAUAACUGCAAGAGCACAGCGCAGACUGCUCAAUAAGGUGAAGAAGAAUCCUAGAGUGUCAGCUAAAGACUUACAAAAGUCACUGGCAAAUGCUAACAUCCCUGUUAGCGAAUCUACAAUACGUAAAACACUAAACAAGAAUGGAUUUCAUGGGAGGAUACCACAGAGGAAGCCACUGCUGUCCAAACAAAACAAUGCUGCACGUUUACAGUUUGCACAAGAGCACCUGGAUGUUCCACAGCAGUACUGGCAAAAUAUUCUGUGGACAGAUGAAACCAAAGUUGAGUUGUUUGGAAGAAACACACAACACUAUGUGUGGCGAAAAAAAGGCACAGUACACCAACAUCAAAACCUCAUCCCAACUGUGAAGUAUGGAGGUGGGGGCAUCAUGGUUUGGGGCUGCUUUGCUGCGUCAGGGCCUGGACGGAUUGCUAUCAUCGAAGGAAAAAUGAAUUCACAAGUUUAUCAAGACAUUUUGCAGGAGAACAUAAGGCCAUCUGUCUACCAGCUGAAGCUCAACAGAAGAUGGGUGUUGCAACAGGACAAUGACCCAAAGCAUAUGUGACGAGUCCAAUCUCGCCACAUUGCAUUGGAGGAGCCUGGUUGCCCGCCUGUUGCCUCUGGACUAUGGCCCCAUGGUAAACCUUGUAUUUUCCCCUGCAGAAAGGCUUGUUCGUGUCUUUCUGCCAGCGUGUUCGGUAGAUUUAAUGUACCGAACAAACGCACAAAUGACUGGACCACCUGGGAGCUGGAGUGUGCCAUCAAUAGAUCUCCCAGAAGCUGCGGUUAACCGCAGCUUAACUGACGAAUGCUGGGUGGCCUUUGUUCGUUUGCCGAACACGUGGCGGCGGCCAUUUUAAAGUCCCGAACGGCCAGCGGUGUUCAGCGCCCAAACCAUGGAACUGGAAACGGACACUUAUUUGCGCGAACACCGCUGAGCCGUCAGCCUCCUUGCUUCUGCAUUCGGUCAUUUAAUCGAAUGCCUGUUCAUUCGGUAGUUUAACCGUAUGAACAGCAUCACCCCAGAUAACCAUGCCAUGGAGCCUAUUCGUGUAACGAAAGACUAUGUUUAAGACUUUGGCUCCAUGGCGAUUGAACUGUAUGUAUGUGAUCUGAGCGCCAUUCGGUAAUAAUGUGCGCUCAGAUCUAAGCUAUCUGGGGAUAGGUAGAAUGUAUAUGUUUUGUUCAUUAUUUGCAACAUUGUGUAUUUUUGUGUCUUUUUACUAACAUGUGCUCAAUGGAGUUUUGCCUCUGUCCUUGGAGAUAAUUGGAUUACUUCCCAAUUAUGUCCAGGAUAUAGGGGAGGGAUUGUAAUGUACUGUGGGAGUGUUUUAACCCUGUAUGCCAGUGAUUGGUCAUUUUACCAUUUGUGUCCCAGUCUUCCAUCUGGUCCCCUAGGGGAGUGUCCACCAGGUGGAAGACCUGCAUAAAUACCGGGCAGGUAUCCCUCAAUAAACCAGAUCACUGCUUGACCCUCAACACAGAGUUCUGUCUCGUUCUUGGGAUUUAUUGUAUGCUGUUCCAGUUCGACUGCUAGGAGUGUAAACCUUUUGUAUGUUUUUUUCUAUUCGGCUGUUUACAGCAUUUGUAUGUUUGAGAGCAUUCAAAUGCUUCUCCGGUUCGGUGGAUUGGUGUCUACAGUAGCUGCCUGUAUAUCUGGAAGGGAAUAUCUCCAAACGGCUGAUAACCCCUUUUAUGCCUGGGGGUGCCGUUACAGCAUAGAAGUAAAUCAACAACAGAAUGGCUUAAACAGAAGAAAAUACGCCUUCUGAAGUGGCCCAGUCAGAGUCCUGACCUCAACCAGAUUGAGAUGCUGUGGCAUGACCUCAAGAAAGCGAUUCACACCAGACAUCCCAAGAAUAUUGCUGAACUGAAACAGUUCUGUAAAGAGGAAUGGUCAAGAAUUACUCCUGACCGUUGUGCACGUCUGAUCUGCAACUACAGGAAACGUUUGGUUGAAGUUAUUGCUGCCAAAGGAGGUUCAACCAGUUAUUAAAUCCAAGGGUUCACAUACUUUCUCCACCUGCACUGUGAAUGUUUACAUGGUGUGUUCAAUAAAAACAUGGCAACAUUUCAUUCUUUGUGUG
RNAcentral lists this long non-coding RNA (2513 nucleotides) under Pelobates cultripes (western spadefoot toad). The record is from RNAcentral. Lineage: Eukaryota; Metazoa; Chordata; Amphibia; Anura; Pelobatidae.